RNAcentral lists this long non-coding RNA (6525 nucleotides) under Ananas comosus (pineapple). RNAcentral's name for it is "long non-coding RNA (ACOM_LNC009087)". The record is from RNAcentral. Lineage: Eukaryota; Viridiplantae; Streptophyta; Magnoliopsida; Poales; Bromeliaceae.
CUUUGGACCUCUCCCUCUUCCUCUCUUCUCUCUUUGAAGCUACAACAAGAGGUAGGCUUCUAACCCUAGUUGUGAAAUUUAGGGUUUUUGGGUUUUAGCUCUUUGGAUGGGAUCAAAUAGAUCCCUAGCACCAUGAAUGGUGGGAUUGAAGCUAGAAUCUAGGGUUUUGAGAUGGGUUUAGCUUGAUGUUAACCCUAGGGCACCAAAAUAGGGUUUUUGGUAAAGUAUGAGAUUGAUCUCAUUUGAGGCCUUGUAAACCUAAUUAGUAGGUGCCUAAACGCGGGGCGAAGUCGGAUUUAGCAUUCGUCGAGCGGGCGAAAAACUAUUGGCAAAACAGGACCGACCGAGCUUCAUUUGGACCAAGAGGGCUAAAGCCUCAUCGUAACGUCCGUUGGAGGGCAUUUCUAGAGCCUCCAUACCCUCAAAAGGUGGGGGGUGUCAUCCCGAAGCAUCCGGAUUUCUCCUUAUGUCUAUGGUAAUUUUAUUUAUCAUAUGUUGAUUGUGCAUUAUAGGAUUAGUAGAAGCAUAUUUCCAUUCCUUGCAUGCUUACUUAGUAGUGUAGCGGUAUGGGCUUGACACUUGGACUAGGGAGGUAUGAGGAUUGGGUCUUGAGACAAAGAAUCCUAUAGUGGCAAAAGUGAUGAACUUGGACAUAGCCUAGUAGAGUGGCAUUGACUAGUGUAGUAGAAACACUAAACUUGAACGAGUGGCAUGUCGACUAGUUAGAAGAUAUUACUACAACGAUUGAACGAGUGGCAUCAAGUCUAGUGUAGUAAACAUGACUUGGUUCUUGGGAUAGUAGAGGCACAUUGACCCUUGUAGAUAGGGUAUUCUCUUGAGAGGAUUGGAUCAUACUCACUAGUCUGUUUUCGCUGUCGGUGGUCGCUCGACCAUGACACGAAUCUCCGGAGUAUUUCACUAGAGGCAGACGUAGUUGUCCUGCAAACGGUCUCGGUGUGCGAAUGCAGCUUCUCCUCACCUAUAAGAUUGAGAGUGAGUCGAGGGUUUAACCUACGGGUUAACCAAGUAGAUUGGGUAAUAAACAUGGAAUGCAUAGUAGAUUUGCAUUAUUAUCUUGAGUAGACAUAGUGUAUGUUGUAGAUUGCAUUACUAUAUACUUUUAUAUACUCAUGACAUGAUACUAGCAUGAUAGUAGUUAUUGCAUGUAUUUUUAUCAUUGAUGGCAUGAGAGAGUAGUUGCAGUUCAUUUCUCCAUAUAUCUAUCUAUCUCUCUAUCUGUGCCAGCUUAGACCUAGUGGAAAAACCGGCGGCGUCGGCGGCCGAACCCACUGGGAACUAUAUUUAUAUAGUUCUCACCCCAUGUGGUUUUGAGGUACAGGUACACACAGGGACGAGCGGAGCGAGGAUCGCGGUAAGGGCAUAGCGCCCUAAGUGAGUUAGUUAGUAGCUUUUCCCUUAUGCAUUAGAGUAUCCCCGUGUACGAGACAUGAUGUGUAUUUUGGAUAGAUAUCGGAGGGCUACUUGUAUAUUUUGAAAAACAUGUAUUUACAUUUUAGCAGAUGAAAAUGUAAUGUAAUCAACUUAUGUAAAUAUUGAAUGGUUGUAAUAGCUAGAUAUUUCUCUCUUUAUACACUUGUACAUUCACUCGUGGUUCUUGCUCUUAGUUAUAGUGCACUUGUGUGCAUUGUGAUUGAUCAUGUAUGUUAUCUAAGCAAUUCCUGGGUGCUUAAUUGUACUUGAUCAGGUUGUUUGGCCUUGGGCGGGCAGGAAAGGUGCCGUCCGUUCGGUGUCCGUCCGCCGCGCCCGAACCGUGCCAAAUUGGUAGCGGUAUCGGGGCGGGGGCGUGACAGAGAUGUUGGUAUCAGAGCCAUUAAGAGCAAGUAAAGAGAAAGUCUAGGAUGGACCUAGGAGACCUAGGUUGGCAACCCUAAGGUGAUAAGUAUGUGAGAGAAACGUGAACCUAUAUCGGUUGAGGAAGAAUCCGAUUAGGUCGGAUCGAGUAUAGAUCUCUAGUAUGGCUAGAGAUAGAUCCGAGCGGUGCUAGUUCCGAGCUCGAGGAGUUUGUGUUGGCGGCCGACAACACGACGCUAAGAGUUAGGACUAAUACAUGGGUGUACGUCUGCUUAUGGUGGAGUUGAGUCGCGUAAUACCGUAUAUGCGACGAAAUUAAGUGGGUUAGAUGACUAACCCGGUUGUUGCGUUGCAGGAACGAUGUCCCCAAGACGCUACGUACGUAGUCCGUUCCGGCUUCGUCUCCUGAGGUGCCCGAGGAAGCCGGAUCUAGUGAAGUACAGGAGUUACGGGCGCAGGUGUCGGCAUUGACCGGCAUUGUACAAUGCCAGGAGAGUCGGUUCGAGCAGCUCCAAGGGCUUAUGGAGCGGCAUUUGGCGGUGGCAACUGCAGCAGCGACUGAGGGCCGUGACCCGCCCCCGCCUCCAGCUCGUGCACCUACGGCGACUGAGGGCGAGGGCAUUGCGGCAGUUCCGGUGGCGGCACGUCCUCCGUCAGCGAGCGUUCGUCCGACGGCGUCAGGUUCUACGACACCCGAUGCGACGGCAUUGGAGGCGGAGAGGGAGCGCGCGCUUGCGGCUCUCAAGAAAUUCCGAAGGUUCAAUCCACCGACCUUCGACGGGGAGAAGGUUAAGCCAUGGAUGGUCGAGUCAUGGGUGGACUCGAUGGAGACCUUGUUUGAGGACCUCUACACCUUAGAGAAGGACAAGGUCCCCCUCGCCACUCAUUGCUUGGAGCGGACGGCGAAGGUUUGGUGGAAGCGAGUCAAGCGUGACCGGGCUUCCGACCUUCCGUCGUUGACGUGGGAGGAGUUUCGGGGACUGUUCUAUGUCAACUACUUCCCCGAUAGCGAGAAGAAGAAGCUCCAGGAGCAAUUUCGAAAGUUGAAGUAGGGUAGCCGCACGGUAGCGAAAUAUGAGCGGGAGUUCUCUCAUAUCAUUGACUGUGUCCCCGACGUAGUGCGGGAUGACAGGGAUCGAGCCGAUUGGUUCGAGCGAGGGCUCCGGGAUGAUAUCUACCGGGCGGUGCACAUUCUGAAGCUCACUACCUUCGUGGAGGUGCUCGACAGAGCAUUGUGGGCGGAGCAAGGAAAUGCUCACAUCAGAGAGGAGCGAGAAGCGUCCGAGAAGGACGGUGGUAAGAAGCGGGCUCAGAGUAGUUCGGGAGCUCAAACUAAGUCAAGGAAGCCCCCGAAGCACCCGUGAACGCAAUUCAAGGGCCGCGGACCGCAGUGGUGCACAAUCUGUGGUGGGAACCAUGAGCCGAGGACGUGUGAACAACGGGAGGGGAAGUGCUUCACGUGUGGACAGGUGGGCCACAUCAGCCGCUACUGUCCAGUGAGGGCUUCGCCUGCCCCUUCAGUCGCAUCGGCUCCGGCGACUUCGGCGCAUUAUGGAGGAGUCCCGCCUGCUGCGUCAUCAGCUGGACGUGCGAUGGUACCACGCCAACCUAAGGCGACGAGAUCGGCUUCGAGCGGGCGGGUGUUCGCCGCCCAAACUCAAGCCGAGGAACCUGCUGAGGCGGAGGAUCGCCAUAUACUCGCAGGUAUGGUUUUUAUUAACGGAGUUUGCUCCAGGGCUAUAUUUGAUACAGGUGCUACACAUUCAUUCAUCAGCAGGUCAUUUGCACGCAUGCAUGACAUAGAACUACAAGAGAGUAAAAGCACUUGGAGAGUAUCGGGCCCCGGACGUGAUUUUCUAGUCCGUAAGGAGUGUUCGUUUUGUCCGGUGCGGUUGGGCGAUUGGAUAAUGCCCAUCCGUAUGUUGGUGCUCAAGAAGUUGAAAGACUUCGACGUCAUUCUAGGAAUGGAUUGGCUCUCGAAGUACUAUGUGACUAUUCACUGCAGAAGUAAAGUAAUUAUGUUCCGCGAUCCGGGCCAGGAAGAGUUCUUCUACCGGGCUUGUAGAAGCUCGUACUUCGCCGCCACGGUAUCGACGACGAGAGCAAGGAAGCUAGUUAACAGCGGUUGUAUGGCCUAUUUGGCGACCGUUGUAGAAGUCGAGAGGACGACUCCUGCGCUCGAGGAGCUGUCUGUGGUUCGGGAAUUUCCAGAUGUAUUUCCCGCGGAGUUACUGGAAAUGCCGCCAGACCGGAAGAUCGAGUUCGUGAUAGACUUGGUUCUAGGAACCGCGCCUAUCUCGAAGGCUCCGUAUCGGAUAGCGCCGGUGGAAUUGAAGGAAUUGCGGGCUCAGUUAUUGGAUCUCCUUGAUAAAGGGUUUAUACGGCCAAGUGUAUCGCUGUGGGGAGCCCCGGUCCUGUUCGUGCGAAAGAAUGACGGAUCGUUUCGACUCUGCGUAGACUAUCGCGAGUUGAACAAGGUCACGAUAAAAAAUAAGUACCUGUUGCCCAGGAUUGAUGAUUUAUUUAAUCAGUUGCAAGGAUCUCGGGUUUAUUCAAAAAUUGAUCCACAGUCCGGUUAUCACCAACUCAAGAUUAAGCCGGAAGAUGUACAAAGGACCGCGUUUCGCACGCGGUAUGGACACUAUGAAUUCACGGUCAUGCCGUUUGGGCUCACUAAUUCCCCGACGGCGUUCAUGGAUUUAAUGAACCGUAUCUUCAAGGAGUACUUGGACCGAUUUGUCGUGAUCUUCAUAGACGACAUCUUCGUCUAUUCUCGUAGCGACGAGGAAUUUGCCGAGCAUUUGAGAAUCGUGCUUCAAGUCCUUCGGGAGGACAAGCUGUAUGUUAAGUUUCAGAAAUGCGACUUUUGGCUCCGAGAGGUUGCAUUUCUUGGGCAUGUUAUUUCCGAGGGUGGAGUAUCUGUUGACCUGAGGAAAGUGGAGGCGAUCAAGGAUUGGCCUCGCCCGACUAACGUCACGAAAGUUCGAAGCUUCGUGGGUUUAGCGGGCUACUAUAGACGGUUUGUGGAGGGAUUCUCGAAGAUUGUGAUUCUACUUACCCGAGGAAAGUGGAGGCGAUCAAGGAUUGGCCUCGACCGACUAAUGUCACGAAAGUUCGAAGCUUCGUGGGUUUAGCGGGCUGCUAUAGACGGUUUGUGGAGGGAUUCUCAAAGAUUGUGAUUCUACUUACCCGUCUGACUCAAAAAGGCACCAAGUUCGUGUGGAGCGGUGAGUGUGACCGGAGUUUUCAAGAGUUGAAGAAUAGAUUGACUUCGACUCCAGUACUCACCUUACCGGUGCAAGAUGAAGACUUCGUGGUGUAUAGCGACGCGUCACAAUCGGGUUUAGGGUGUGUUCUGAUGCAGGGCGGGAAGGUGAUCGCUUACGCGUCCCGUCAGCUGAAGAGCUGUGAGAAGAACUACCCUGUUCACGACUUAGAGUUGGCCGCGGUAGUGUUUACUCUCAAGCUGUGGAGGCACUACUUGUAUGGCGCGCGUUGCGAGAUAUAUACGGACCAUAAGAGUCUAAAGUACCUAUUCACACAAAAGGAGCUCAAUAUGCGACAGCGGCGGUGGUUGGAACUACUGAAGGAUUUCGAUGUGACAAUCCUAUACCACCCUGGAAAAGCAAAUGUGGUGGGUGACGUGCUUAGCAGGAAAUCAGUGGAGAAUCUUGCUAUGUUAGUCACACGUCAGGAACCACUUAUUUUGAGGACGAAACUUCUUUUUAGGAGGGGAGGAUAUAAGAAAGUAAAUUCUCGAAAUACGAGAGUUAGACUUCAUCCAGAAUCGACCAAGGGUCGUGUUGGUGAACUUUGGAAAAGUCAAAGAUGUCAAAAUCACCAAAAGUGCAUUAGAAACGAGUCCACGAGAGUAAAUAGUGCAAAACCUGCACUAGAGCAAAACUGCUCUCGGGACCGGUCCCUGGUAGGGAGGGACCGGUCCCAUCGGUUGGUGGUUGCGGGGAUCCUUGUGGCAACCGAUCCCUGGCAGGGAGAGACCGGUCCCCGAACGUGACCCCAGCGAGAAAAGCCAAAAUUUGGCUAAGUCCCGAAAUCCCAGCUCUCAGGAACUGUUCUCUCAAGAGGGAACCAGUCUCCUGGGGACCGGUCUCUCAGGGAAGGACCGAUUCCCGAACGCGUGACCCGAGCUCAAGCUCUCGGGGACCGGUCCCAGGUCGGGGAGACCGGUCCCUCUGGGUGGAAACUGCCCAGUGAAGGCAGUGUACAGAGGCAAAAGUUGAGGGACUUAGUUGGAUAUUGUUACAUUAGAGGGGUAUGUAGGCCCCCUUUCUCUCUCCAACCCUCAUUUCUCCCUCAGUCUCUCACACUCUUUUCUCUCCCUCUCUCUCUCUAGAAAGAAAAGAGAAGGAAGGAGAAGAGAAGGAAAAUAAGGAAGAAAAGAAAGGAGAAGCGAAGGAGAUCAAGCUAGAGGAAGCUUUGGACCUCUCCAUCUUCCUCUCUUCUUUCUUUGAAGCUACAACAAGAGGUAGGCUUCUAACCCUAGUUGUGAAAUUUAGGGUUUUUGGAUUUUAGCUCUUUAGAUGGGAUCAAAUGGAUCCCUAGCACCAUGAAUGGUGGGAUUGAAGCUAGAAUCUAGGGUUUUGAGAUGGGUUUAGCUUGAUGCUAACCCUAGGGCACCAAAAUAGGGUUUUUGGUAAAGUAUGAGAUUGAUCUCAUUUGAGGCCUUGUAAACCUAAUUGGUAGGUGCCUAAA